GGAUGGAUCAUUCUUGUGCUUUCAAACCAACCCCUGUCUUGAAAUGAUAUACGCUUUCUGCAUAGCAACAUUUGUCACCAAUAAAUUACAAAACUCAUUACGGUGGAUGACUCGGCUCUCGGUACGAGGAAGGGCGCAGCAAAACGCGUUAUGCAGUACGAUCUGCGAAAUCUCGUGAGUUACUCGAUUCCUGAACGCUAUAGUACGUUUGGACUUGUCCACACGUGUACUUGACUCGGUAGUAUUUCGAAUUUCUAGUAUCUAGAGAGUUGAGCUCCCUAGGUGCAAACCUAGCUAGCUGUCAUGGACCAUUUGAGACAUGAGCACAGUACUGUUCACAUUCUCAAACGUCUUAACGUGUUGUCUCCGAGUUCAAGUAAGGCAACCCGCUGAAUUUAAGCAUAUAAAUAAGCGGAGGAAAAGAAAUCAACAAAGAUUCCCUGAGUAGUGGCGAACGAAAUGGGAAGUGCCCGAUGUGAAUCUGCGCUCUUUGAGCGUUGAGUUGUGCAUCGUACAGAUAACUUUGGCAGAUCAGUAGUUAAGGUGCUAGAAAGAGCACGCCGUAGACGGUGAUGGCCCCGUGACUACUACUGACCAUGCCGUGUUAGUUUCUGUACAUCGAGUCACGCUUCUUGGGAGUGAAGCGCAAAAUGGGUGGUAAUCUUCAUCCAAGGCUAAAUAUAACCGAGAGAUCGAUAGCAAACAAGUACCGUGAGGGAAAGUUGAAAAGCACUUCGAAAGGAGAGUUAAAAUACCUGAAACCGUCAUGAGGGAAGCGCCUUCUUGUGCCUUUGAGGGUUACGGAACUUCUUGUCUUUGUGGACGCAAUGGACAUAAGUAUUCCUUUUUCCUCAGCCCGAUAGUGCUGUAUAUUUGAUGAUGUGCGUAGUAUCACGUACUCGUGCCUUGCACAUCUGAGAUCUCAUGCAGCAUUUUAUAUUGGGAUUGGCGCAAGUAGGCGACCCGUCUUGAAACACGGACCAAGGAGUUAAACAUGUGUGCAAGUGUAAGGGCGUUAUGCUCAUACGCGUAGUGAAAGCAACUGUGGUGAAUGUUAACGCAACCGCGGCCGGCUUUAUGUCUGUGCCUGAGCAUACUUGUUUAGACCCGAAAGAUGGUGAUCUAUACCUGGGUUGGGUGAAGCCAGGGGAAACCCUGGUGGAAGCUCGUAGCGAUACUGACGUGCAAAUCGUUCGUCGAACUUGGGUAUAGGGGCGAAAGACUAAUCGAACCAUCUAGUAGCUGGUUCCCUC
This 1253-nucleotide unclassified non-coding RNA is filed under the name uncultured fungus. RNAcentral describes it as "sequence contains 18S rRNA gene, ITS1, 5.8S rRNA gene, ITS2, 28S rRNA gene". The stretch from base 363 to 1253 matches the Rfam family "Eukaryotic large subunit ribosomal RNA", at positions 1 to 961 of the family's 3401-position model. Lineage: Eukaryota; Fungi. The record is from RNAcentral. RNAcentral also lists the same sequence under 1 other name.